ACUUCGUGAAGCUGGAUUCGCUAGUAAUCGCGCAUCAGCCAUGGCGCGGUGAAUACGUUCCCGGGCCUUGUACACACCGCCCGUCAAGCCAUGAAAGCCGGGGGUACCUGAAGUACGUAACCGCAAGGAGCGUCCUAGGGUAAAACUGGUAAUUGGGGCUAAGUCGUAACAAGGUAUC
Molecule: ribosomal RNA, 178 nt
Filed under: uncultured bacterium
Lineage: Bacteria
Description: partial 16S ribosomal RNA
Rfam family: Bacterial small subunit ribosomal RNA
Source: RNAcentral